ACGUACUCCUCCUAGAGCAUUCAUCAGAUCGGCAUCACGUUCGGUCAGUCUCAUCUACAGGCAUUGACGAUGCCAAAUUGCGAAGCUUUUGAAUUUUUGCUGCUCGCCGUGGGCGUGGCGCACUCACAAAUUUAGAAGUUUCACCAUGAAAAAGGAAGUUGUUAUAACUCAAACAUAGAAUGUCCAAUCUAGGGAUGUCACGAUACCAAAAAUCUAGUAGUCGGUACCAGCAAAAAUACACGAUACUCGAUACCACUUUGUGUAUAAAUAAAUAAUACUUUUAACUCCUUUAUUUAAACACGAGCAUUAUAAAAAACAAUAGUGGCAACAGUCACAUAAUAUAAAAAAAAGCAAUUACAAAAUAGAUAUAUAAUAAAUAUGUAGGCAUAAAAUGUUUUUUCUUCAAGAUGUUCUGAAAUGAGGUCUGGUUUCGGUGUAUAGUUUGGGGAUCUCUGUAUACAUGAAGUAAUUUUUGCCUGGUACCUGGGGUUGAACCACUGAAGCAGAGAGAGAGAGGGGGUAGGUGGAGCAAUUUCAUUUUAGCCCAGAACCUUUAGCUUGCCUUUGCCAGGAGGUUCAGACUUGGCUUUCAACAAGAUAAAGAGCCAAGCAUACUUCCAAAUGAACACCAAAAUGCUUCAAGAAACUCAAAAUCAGUGUUUUACAGUGAGCUUAAAAUGUCCUCCAUGGUGGCAUGGACCAGGACCCCUCGGUCUGCAGCAUACAGGAAGAUUUCAGGUUAGACAUUAUGGGAAGAGUCUCGGUGCUGUUAUUGUCUCUGGGGCAGACAUCAGUUAACAUUGUGACCCCUUCCCUGGAGAGAACAGCAUUACAAUUCUGAAAACAGUUUUUGUAAAUAAUAAUUCACUACUUAAAGCAUGUACCCGAGCUCCUGCUACACAGUAACUAAAACUGUCUGCAACUCACGUGUUACUUCAUUCUUUAGUUCCUUUUCUUAAGUGUAGAGCCUCUGUCAGAUUGUGUGAUUGAUAAAGAAAAGCACAUAAAUGACAAAAUACCAGUUUGAGUGCCUAGUGGUCUAAUGAGGAAAUCCUCUUUGGAAGCUCAAUAUAUGCACUUAUCCAUUUGCAUUUUGAUUUGGCUGUUAGUGCUGAGGAUGUCCUUAAGGUGAUGUGCUGCUUUUGUCAGAUUUAGUAAUUCUCUUUAGUCACAUGAGCACUAAUGGUUUUUCUAAAUUUGUAUGUUGUUUAUUUUGGAUACAGGCAGAGGAAGCUCAGCGAAAGCUUAAGAGACAGAAUGGAGAGGACCCAGGUAAGCUAUUUCUUCAGUGAUUAUAGUCAUAUCUGAAAAUGAUUGGUCAGUUGAAUGCAGAUUGCUGAAGUGUGAGUGUCUGUGUGUGUCGUAGCCCUGCCUCCAUUUUGCCCACUGUUUGCCAGCUUGGUAAACAUUCUGCAGUGUGACGUGAUGCUUGGCAUGCUGGGAGCUGUGCUGCAGUGGGCUAUGGAGCCCAGUGGAGGACACUGGUCUGAGUCCAUGCUGCAGAGGAUAAAUGUUUGGAUGUUUUGUUAAAAUGACAUGAUAGUGUAGUAAAUUCAACAAAAUUCCACUUGCUAUGCUGUGUUCAUGAGCAUCACUUUUUAAUGACUGAGUAGUGUUCACAAUUCUGUAUGUGUGUGUUGCUACAGGUGCUGCACUUGAUAGGCAUGGCUCUGCUGGAGGAGCAGCAACAGCUAGAGAACAUUGGGGAUGACGAUGAAGUUACUUUCAACUUCACCCUCAAAAUCUCCCGUCCCGGUGAAGCCCCCGGCAACACUCCAAGCAUCCUGGCUCUGUUAGAGACCUUGCAGUGCACGCCUCACUUGGAAGUGCACAAAGACAUGAUUCGCUGGAUCCUUAAAGUAAAAUUACAUCUUGAUUAUGUUUGCAAUUUGCCUUACUCUCUCUAUGCGUGCACCUAAAAUGUCCACCAGGUGGCAGCCUAGCAUGUUUUGCAAUUCGCUCACUGAAGGUAGGCGCAACAUACAAAAGAUGAGCGUUUUUACCAUGAAGUUUAAAGCAGUGCUGCACCAUCAAGACCUGUUUGAAAUCCAAGCAGUGCAACACUGCUCAAGGUGGCGUGGCCGGUAGGCAAAGCAGCACCUCUCACCACAAAUGCUUUACUGUCACAAAGCGGUUUUGCUGCUGAUCAUCUGUAGGUGGCCCUAGGGGUGUUUUGAUGUGGCUUAUUGUGCGUAUUACUUAAAAGCUGUAUGUCAACAUGAAUAUUUAAAUGACAUGUAAGGAUUGCUUACUACACAAACUGAAUUUCCAUGCACUGUGAUGUAUGCAUUUUAUUUUCCAUAUAGUGAAAACUGUCAGGAGACCUGCACCAGGCAGAACAUGUACAUAUAAAGGCCAUGGUGUAGGCCAAGGCUAAUGAUGUAUUGUUGUAUGUACUUUGAAGAGAAACAGGCAAAUUAAAUGUUAGUAAAAUUGUAAUGCAUCUUCGGUAUUUAAUGGUAUGGUGUGUGUAUAUACUUUUUAGUGCACAAAUGUGUUCUAUUGAACAUCUGCUUAGUUUUGCAAGACUUUGUGUGUGCAUGUAGUUCUAACUGCACUGCUGUAUCGUUUUCUUGUAGAAGUAUUUUCCUAAAUUAUGUAUCUUUUUCUACACAGAUGGUGGUUAGCAUUAAAACGAUGCGUGAGGGCACAGCUGCUGCACCUCCAUGUGAAGGAACAGGGCACUGUCACAAGGAGACUGUGUGGGACAAAGACAAAGCAGAGAGAAAAAGGAAAGCUGAACUGUGCUGGAAAAAGACCAUGGCUCAAACAUUAGAGAGCCAGAGUCAUUUUAUCAAUAAGUACAUAGAUCUGCUCACGCAGGAUUCAGAGGAUCUGGACGCCUCAGCCUCUACAUCAGCAGAGCAUAGCCCCAGUUCAUGUGACGGUGCUCUGGUGUGUGUGGGACCUCGUCGUUGGCGUGCCAGAGGAGGAGAGAGGAGGCAGAUGGAGAUGUGUAUCCUGUGUCACGAAGCGCAGGAGAUCCUACCUGAUGGCACCGCCAUGGUGCUCGCUGCCUUUGUCCAACGCUCUACGGUCAUGUCCAAGAUCCGCAAAAGACCUCACAAUCCAGGUAAGGUUAUGGUUUACAGUGUGCAAGUCAAGUAAUUGGAUAGGUUUGAGUAGCCAGUGUGCUUAUUUCUGGAGGAUACAUGUGUGUUCCAGAGAGCUAUGAUCCCCUCUUCAUGCACCCUGACCUGUCCUUUGGUACCCAUACCGGCAGCUGUGGCCACAUCAUGCACUCUCACUGCUGGCAGAGGUCUUUGAAUAUCAAUGAUGCAGACAGGGAGGAGAAAUAUAACAGGUAUUUACAUACCAGUCAGUAUGUGUGUGUAUGUGUGUGUGUGUGUGUAUGUGUGUAUAUGUGUGUAUAUGUGUGUGUGUCUCUGCACCACUUAACUCCUGUCUCCCAUUUUUACUGCAUUUGUAAAACUGGAGACACCGCAGGGGGAAGCCACUCAAACCCUCUAGUGUGUGAAUCUCCCAGAGCUUACACAUUCAAACUGAAACUACACAAGCACUACAAACGUGUGUGUGUGUUUGUAUUUGUGUAACAAAUACAGUAACAGUAAACCGUUUUUGUGUUGAUCUUGAUGUAUGUUUUGGAUCAUUGUCCUGCUGGAAGAUCCAACCACGGCCAAUUUGAAGCUUUCUGUCAGAGGCAGUCAGGUUUUCAUUUAAUAUCUGUUGAUAUUUGAUAGUCCAUUACGCCAUGUAUCCUUUCUCUGUACCGUCACUUUGGGGUGGUAGUUACAUCCAUCGACUUGGAUAAGCAAGUUACAAGCCAUCGAUAAGGGAAACCUGAGAUCAAGAUACAUCUCAGGUUUUAUUUAUUUAUUUUCAUUUAUUUAUUUAUUUAUUUUUUUAAGAACUCACUUUUUACAUUCCUUCUGAUAAGUCGCCUAAAUGCAUUCUUAAGUUCAUUCUGCUUAAGGCACUCCACAAAAGCUUAGUGGAGUAGUACUCCAGCUACCCAGGAGUAGUUGAUUAAAAAUAGUCGAGAGUAUUUGUUUAUAAAACUAAUUGUUGAAGCCCUAAAGAGAGCAGUGUUCCUGUGGACCUCAGGGGAAGCAGUAAGGAGCUCUGUUCAUUUGUGAACUUUAAGAAAAGUAACCUGGGUGAAGCUCUUCAUGAAUUUGGGAGAUGUUGAGUAUGUGCAAAAAAUUUAAAUAUAACAUUUAAAAAGUUUAAGAUUUCACAGCAUAUUUAUGUGUGUGUUAUUUCAGUAUUAAUGUUCUUAUUAUUAUUUUAAAACUUUUUUUUUUAAAAAAAAACAAACACAUGUGCCAGGGUGUACAAACGUUUUGUUUUUUUUUUCUUUCCUGGUUGCAUAUUUAAAAUUCUUACUUGAACCGGUACAUCUAUACGAUAUAUUUUCGUCAUGUGUGUGCUUGUGUGUGUAUUUGCACAUGUAUGUGCACGUGUGUGUUUUCCUACUAUAGGUGUUUAAGGACUCUUUGAUCCACCAGAGAACGGGUGAUAAGAAGAACCCAUUUCGGUACUUCUCUAAGCAGGAUCUGAAGGAGCUUUUCACACUGGAGGACACGUACUCGUCCUCCACUCGGCUGCAGCUACAGUCACUCCACUCGUCUGCGUGCCGCUCCGACCCUGAGCUGCAGUGCCACAUCUCCUCUCUGAAGGGCAUGAAUGUGUUUGGCGUGUCCCGUCAUGACUUGCUGUUCUCUAAUGAGGAUACUCUGCAGGACGAGGACAAAUAUGGUCACAAUUUGGCCCAUAUCUGUUCAGCGGUGCCAUAUCUAGGCCAUAUGUGACGGAUAAUACCCACAUGUGGCCCAAACGUACUUGCUAUUUGGGAUGUCUGGUUGGGGUGUGAAAAUUUUAGAUGCUGGAUUGACAGUUAUAUUAUUAAAUAACAAUAUGAACAGCAAGAUUAUUAAUUGGAGUAGCAUAAGUAAUGAAAAUAGCAAAUGUUAAUAUUCAUAAAUACAGGUAAUGGGAUUUAGUGUUAAUAGUGCAAGAGUAAGUGUAAAUAUGAAUCUGAAACAGAUGUGGCUGUUCAUCGCUUUAAUUGAAGAAAAAGUCAAAAAAAUUUUAGCCAUGUUGCAUAACGUACAUAAAGGGCAAGCAGGCGGAGCUUGUGUCCCCAAACAUGAUCAUUGCUUGCUUUGAUGUACAGAACUGCUCAUAUGGCAUAGAGCAUGCACCAUACAGCAUUCCUCAAAUCUAGGCCUAAUUCUAAACCACUUUAGCUGGAAGACCCACCCACACACUGUGUGUGUCAGUGACUGUGUCUGUAUGGUUGGAUGAUGAUGCAGGUGUGUGUGUGUGUGUCAGUGACUCAGGUGU
This is an RNA transcript of Ictalurus furcatus (blue catfish), 5307 nucleotides long. It is a transcript of the gene named E3 ubiquitin-protein ligase UBR2-like, with no coding region annotated. NCBI's taxonomy places the organism in Eukaryota, Metazoa, Chordata, Actinopteri, Siluriformes, Ictaluridae. The transcript is spliced from 5 exons. The record is from RefSeq and is a predicted model, not a curated record.